GUAGAACAACCACAAUCUCUUAGCUCUCUCUCUCUCUAACACUCACUCCGAUCGCAUUCAUCUCUAACCUCUUAGCUCUCUCUGUGUGUAACGCUAUGUAAGAUAGCUCAUAAACACUCCGAUCUUGUUCAUGGAGCUCUAGUAUUUAGGUUUUCAACUAUAUCUGUUUUACAAUUUGAGUCUGACCGAAGAAAUUUGUUUCUUCUAUACACCCACCUCAUAUACACUGUUCGCACUUACUAAUUUCUGUUCGAUCUAGUGUUCAAGCUUCAUUUCUGGUGUUUUAGAGUAAUAGGUUAGAGAUGAGUCAGUGUACUAUUUGUGGUUUCUACCGGUGUUCGAGAACCCUAAUAUGAAGGUCUUUUGUGAACAAUCAGAGUAAGAUUAGAGUAUAACAAUUGUGUUUUGGCUGCAAAUAUGUGUCAACAGUGUACAUACAACAAAAUUUGCGAAAGGGGUUUACAAAUUGGUUUACUGCUUAAGGUUGAUUUGGAACAAUGGUGGCUGAAAAAAGUUUGAGACUGAGGUUUAUAUAGGCUCAAGAAGUGGAAUUCAAAAGUUGAACCUACCAUUAUUUGCAGCCGGAAUAGUGAUGGAGACCUUUGAGUUUCCAAGAAAUAAAUCUUAAUAAUCAUGCAGAUUUUUUGGAAGCAUUUAUUUCAAAUACAUUUUUAAAUCUGUAUGUGUGUAUCGGAAGGUCUUUACGUGUAUAUAUGUAAAUCGAUUCAAGCAAUCUUGGAAAUAGAUUUUAUAUAGGUUAUGAUUAGAAGUCUUACAUAAUUAGAAGUCUAUUGAAUAUCCUUGGUAGCAUAACAUAUUAGCUGUAUAAUUGUCCUUGGAAAGCCAAACGUUAAUUGAACACCAUCAAUUCGCAAACUCUAAUCUGCAUACUCUAAACGGCGCCGUAUGAUUUAGGCGGGAUAAUGGUUGUAGUAGAAAGUUACUGCUUUAUUAUAUUGAUAGAUUAGAAAUGUAUCUGGCAUCAUCUUUUAAUUGAAACUUGCACUUAUCUGUCUGAUUAAA
Molecule: long non-coding RNA, 1023 nt
Organism: Ipomoea nil (Japanese morning glory)
Lineage: Eukaryota; Viridiplantae; Streptophyta; Magnoliopsida; Solanales; Convolvulaceae
Exons: 3
Source: RefSeq, a predicted model, not a curated record